UAAUACAUGCAAGUCGAGCGGAUCGAUGGGAGCUUGUUCCCUGAGAUCAGCGGCGGACGGGUGAGUACACGUGGGUAACCUGCCUGUAAGACUGGGAUAACUCCGGGAAACCGGGGCUAAUACCGGAUAACUCAGUUCCUCGCAUGAGGAACUGUUGAAAGGUGGCUUUUCGCUACCACUUACAGAUGGACCCGCGGCGCAUUAGCUAGUUGGUGAGGUAACGGCUCACCAAGGCAACGAUGCGUAGCCGACCUGAGAGGGUGAUCGGCCACACUGGGACUGAGACACGGCCCAGACUCCUACGGGAGGCAGCAGUAGGGAAUCUUCCGCAAUGGACGAAAGUCUGACGGAGCAACGCCGCGUGAGUGAAGAAGGUUUUCGGAUCGUAAAACUCUGUUGUUAGGGAAGAACAAGUGCCGUUCGAAUAGGGCGGCACCUUGACGGUACCUAACCAGAAAGCCACGGCUAACUACGUGCCAGCAGCCGCGGUAAUAC
Molecule: ribosomal RNA, 495 nt
Filed under: uncultured marine bacterium
Lineage: Bacteria
Description: bacterial SSU rRNA
Rfam family: Bacterial small subunit ribosomal RNA
Source: RNAcentral